Molecule: ribosomal RNA, 425 nt
Filed under: Citrobacter freundii
Lineage: Bacteria; Pseudomonadati; Pseudomonadota; Gammaproteobacteria; Enterobacterales; Enterobacteriaceae
Description: bacterial SSU rRNA
Rfam family: Bacterial small subunit ribosomal RNA
Source: RNAcentral
GGAAUCUUCGGCAAUGGACGGAAGUCUGACCGAGCAACGCCGCGUGAGUGAAGAAGGUUUUCGGAUCGUAAAGCUCUGUUGUAAGAGAAGAACGAGUGUGAGAGUGGAAAGUUCACACUGUGACGGUAUCUUACCAGAAAGGGACGGCUAACUACGUGCCAGCAGCCGCGGUAAUACGUAGGUCCCGAGCGUUGUCCGGAUUUAUUGGGCGUAAAGCGAGCGCAGGCGGUUAGAUAAGUCUGAAGUUAAAGGCUGUGGCUUAACCAUAGUACGCUUUGGAAACUGUUUAACUUGAGUGCAAGAGGGGAGAGUGGAAUUCCAUGUGUAGCGGUGAAAUGCGUAGAUAUAUGGAGGAACACCGGUGGCGAAAGCGGCUCUCUGGCUUGUAACUGACGCUGAGGCUCGAAAGCGUGGGGAGCAAACAG